Molecule: ribosomal RNA, 427 nt
Filed under: uncultured bacterium
Lineage: Bacteria
Description: bacterial SSU rRNA
Rfam family: Bacterial small subunit ribosomal RNA
Source: RNAcentral
UAGGGAAUAUUGGACAAUGGGGGCAACCCUGAUCCAGCCAUGCCGCGUGAGUGAAGAAGGCCCUCGGGUUGUAAAGCUCUUUUGUCCGGAAAGAAAAGCUUCGGGUUAAUACCCCGGGGUUCUGACGGUACCGGAAGAAUAAGCACCGGCUAACUUCGUGCCAGCAGCCGCGGUAAUACGAAGGGUGCAAGCGUUACUCGGAAUUACUGGGCGUAAAGCGUGCGUAGGUGGUUGUUUAAGUCUGAUGUGAAAGCCCUGGGCUCAACCUGGGAAUGGCAUUGGAAACUGGGCAGCUAGAGUGCGGUAGAGGUUAGUGGAAUUCCCGAUGUAGCAGUGAAAUGCGUAGAGAUCGGGAGGAACAUCUGUGGCGAAGGCGACUGCCUGGACCAGCACUGACACUGAGGCACGAAAGCGUGGGGAGCAAACA